GAUGAACGCUGGCGGCGUGCCUAAUACAUGCAAGUCGAGCGAACAGACGAGGAGCUUGCUCCUCUGACGUUAGCGGCGGACGGGUGAGUAACACGUGGAUAACCUACCUAUAAGACUGGGAUAACUUCGGGAAACCGGAGCUAAUACCGGAUAAUAUAUUGAACCGCAUGGUUCAAUAGUGAAAGACGGUUUUGCUGUCACUUAUAGAUGGAUCCGCGCCGCAUUAGCUAGUUGGUAAGGUAACGGCUUACCAAGGCAACGAUGCGUAGCCGACCUGAGAGGGUGAUCGGCCACACUGGAACUGAGACACGGUCCAGACUCCUACGGGAGGCAGCAGUAGGGAAUCUUCGGCAAUGGGCGAAAGCCUGACGGAGCAACGCCGCGUGAGUGAUGAAGGUCUUCGGAUCGUAAACCUCUGUUAUUAGGGAAGAACAAAUGUGUAAGUAACUAUGCACGUCUUGACGGUACCUAAUCAGAAAGCCACGGCUAACUACGUG
Molecule: ribosomal RNA, 497 nt
Filed under: uncultured bacterium
Lineage: Bacteria
Description: partial 16S ribosomal RNA
Rfam family: Bacterial small subunit ribosomal RNA
Source: RNAcentral